This 77-nucleotide transfer RNA is filed under the name Candidatus Omnitrophota bacterium. Its description in RNAcentral is "Candidatus Omnitrophica bacterium tRNA-Val". It matches the Rfam family "tRNA". From Rfam's summary of the family: Transfer RNA (tRNA) molecules are approximately 80 nucleotides in length. Their secondary structure includes four short double-helical elements and three loops (D, anti-codon, and T loops). Lineage: Bacteria; Pseudomonadati; Candidatus Omnitrophota. The record is from RNAcentral.
GGGCGGUUAGCUCAGUUGGUUAGAGUAUCACGUUGACAUCGUGAGGGUCACUGGUUCGAAUCCAGUACCGCCCACCA